AGGGGUGAUGGUAGAGGAGGGGUGAUGGUGGAGGAGGGGUGAUGGUGGAGGAGGGGUGAUGGUAGAGGAGGGGUGAUGGUAGAGGAGGGGUGAUGGUAGAGGAGGGGUGAUGGUAGAGGAGGGGUGAUGGUAGAGGAGGGGUGAUGGUAGAGGAGGGGUGAUGGUAGAGGAGGGGUGAUGGUGGAGGAGGGGUGAUGGUAGAGGAGGGGUGAUGGUAGAGGAGGGGUGAUGGUAGAGGAGGGGUGAUGGUAGAGGAGGGGUGAUGGUAGAGGUAGGGGUAGGGGUGAUGGUAGAGGAGGGGGUGAUGGUAGAGGUAGGGGUGAUGGUAGAGGAGGGGUGAUGGUAGAGGAGGGG
This is a long non-coding RNA of Oncorhynchus tshawytscha (Chinook salmon), 354 nucleotides long. The record is from Ensembl. NCBI's taxonomy places the organism in Eukaryota, Metazoa, Chordata, Actinopteri, Salmoniformes, Salmonidae.